Long non-coding RNA from Panicum hallii, 1706 nucleotides. RefSeq lists it as uncharacterized. The record is from RefSeq and is a predicted model, not a curated record. Lineage: Eukaryota; Viridiplantae; Streptophyta; Magnoliopsida; Poales; Poaceae. The transcript has 3 exons.
CAUUAUCACCACCGAUGUUGUCCCCCAUCUCUCUCUCUCACUCAGGUCCGAAAAUGGGAGCAGCGACCCCGGGUGAGGGUGCCCGCUGCGGUGGCCUCCAGCGAGGGCGCGCAUGGCAGCAACCCCCGGCGAGGGUGCUCGCGGCGGCCCCCCACAACGGUGCACGUUACGCCCCUGGCGAGGAAGCUCCUCGACGGUGGCUCCCACGCAGCACGACUGCCUCAACAUGCUCAGGAUGAAGGCGAGCCUAGCGUCCUUUCGUAUGGCUCCUGGGGGCGCGGCCGCGCACGGGCCAAGGCGGAGCCGAGGCUGGUGCUCCAGAUCUGCAGCCACUGCGCUGGCAAGGAGAAGCUGUAUGGCAAGGUGGCUGACUAAGAUAUGGCAAAGGAGCAUGUUAACCAGGUGUUGCUUGAGUUAAGCAAUUUACAUAUCAUGCAUAAGUAAUCUGUGUCCAUUUUAGUUGUGUACUCACUGUGUUUUCUAUUUCUAAGGGUCAGUGCAAGUUCAACAAAGAUAUAGCGUCUAUACGUGAUGUGUUUUGUAUGAUUCAGAACUGCUAGUCACCAAUUUUAGCUAUGUGCUGGUUGAAUUGAUAUCUUUCAGAUUUUUUCUUUAAUUGAUAGGUCUGUAUUCAGUAAACAUGUUAGAUCUAGUUUUAUUAGGAUAUGGCCUGCUAGAACUAAGUCAUUACUGUUUUAUUAAUGGUGUUUUGACCACAAUUCCAAUGCAGUUUCACCUCUAGAAACAGGAAGGUACAUUGGUGUUUGCUAGCAUUUUUUUUAGUAAUGUGGGCAAUAGCAUUGUAUUAACUGCCUCUGACAUGGUGGAUCCGUACAAGCCUUUCUUUACUAUAUACCUUAUUAGACACUAAUGAGGUUAUUAAGAAGGCAAUAAUAUAAUUCUGGAAUAGGCAAAAUGGUACACUGCAUUAGGCAAAAAUAUGGUUUGAUCAGGCAGUAAUAUUGUUCUGGAAGAGGUCAAUUAGCAUAUUUUUGCUAUCAAUCAUUUCGAUUUUACUGAUCAACUUGUGGAAUUCAUUUGUAGGCAAGUUAUGCAAAAUCAACAGGCAAAUUAUUCAUUUUAGGUUAGCAUUUUUUGAUUUAGCACAGGUUUUACAAUUGCUAGCAGUAUGUAGUUGUAUAUUGGAUAGGUUUUGAUUUCACACUUGUUCCUUUUCUCUUUUUUUGGUUCUGCAUUUAUUCCAUUAGUGUGUCUUCUUUACUUUUCUUUUGUAUCCUCUAUCUACUGAUCUUGGUAGAUUCCAUUUUCCUAUUGAAGUACCAGGCAUAGAAGCAAGUUGUAGAUUAGGAUGAGAUGAUCAGCUGUAGGCACCGCACUGUAAUAGGACCUGAUGAGGUAGCUACAGGCGCAGGAGUAAGAUUGUGUAGGCUCACACAAAUGUGAUGAUGGUGCCGGUCCAUUAUUUUUUUGGUGCUAGAGAAUGAGACUUGAACACUUGCUUUGUGUCAUUGUAUGAAUGUUUAGAUUGGUGAAAAUACCUUUGUACCUGUUCUAAUUUUUUUAGAGUUCUUUAACUUUUCUUAUGAGGUCCCUGAAAGAACCGUGACACCCUAGAAGGGGGGGGGGGGUGAAUUAGGUGCUCUAAAAACUAAAGCUCCAAGCACAUAUAAAAACCUAUUCCAAAAUCUAUCUAGAUGUGCACUAGGUUUUUCUAUGUGUUACUUUCUCUACCGUAUAAAAGUUUU